GACGAACGCUGGCGGCGUGCUUAACACAUGCAAGUCGAACGGAAAGGCCCUGCUUUUGUGGGGUGCUCGAGUGGCGAACGGGUGAGUAACACGUGAGUAACCUGCCCUUGACUUUGGGAUAACUUCAGGAAACUGGGGCUAAUACCGGAUAGGAGCUCCUGCUGCAUGGUGGGGGUUGGAAAGUUUCGGCGGUUGGGGAUGGACUCGCGGCUUAUCAGCUUGUUGGUGGGGUAGUGGCUUACCAAGGCUUUGACGGGUAGCCGGCCUGAGAGGGUGACCGGCCACAUUGGGACUGAGAUACGGCCCAGACUCCUACGGGAGGCAGCAGUGGGGAAUAUUGCACAAUGGGCGGAAGCCUGAUGAAGAAACGCCGCGUGCGGGAUGACGGCCUUCGGGUUGUAAACAGCUGUCGCCUGUGACGAAGCGUGAGUGACGGUAAUGGGUAAAGAAGCACCGGCUAACUACGUG
RNAcentral lists this ribosomal RNA (468 nucleotides) under uncultured bacterium. RNAcentral's name for it is "partial 16S ribosomal RNA". It matches the Rfam family "Bacterial small subunit ribosomal RNA", at positions 28 to 507 of the family's 1533-position model. The record is from RNAcentral.